This is a non-coding RNA of Pelobates cultripes (western spadefoot toad), 215 nucleotides long. Lineage: Eukaryota; Metazoa; Chordata; Amphibia; Anura; Pelobatidae. The record is from the annotation of a GenBank genome assembly.
GCUCAUUUUUAUAGUAUUAUAAAAAAUAUACUGAAUACCUAAUUUUAUCAAGUCUCUUUCCCUAGUCAUAGAUAUCCCACCCCCUUUUGCCAAUAAAUUUUUUUUUUUUAAAUCCUCUGUCCGUAAUCCCACAUCUGAUGCUCGCCUCCAAGACUUCUCCAGGGCUGCACCUUUUUUGUGGAACUCCCUUUCCUUCUCCGUUAGACUUUCACCCA